GACGAACGCUGGCGGCGUGCUUAACACAUGCAAGUCGAACGGAAAGGCCCCUUCGGGGGUACUCGAGUGGCGGACAGGUGCGUAACACGUGAGUAACCUGCCCUUGACUUCGGGAUAACUUCGGGAAACUGGGGCUAAUACCGGAUAGGAAUCCUUGCUGCAUGGUGGGGGUUGGAAAGCUUCGGCGGUUUUGGAUGGACUCGCGGCUUAUCAGCUUGUUGGUGGGGUAGUGGCUUACCAAGGCUUUGACGGGUAGCCGGCCUGGGAGGGCGACCGGCCACAUUGGGACUGAGGGACGGCCCAGACGCCUACGGGAGGCAGAAGGGGGGAAUAUUGCACAAGGGGCGGAAGCCUGAUGCAGAAACGCCGCGGGCGGGAGGACGGCCUUGGGGUUGUAAACCGCUUUCAGCAGGGGCGAAGCUUGUGGUGACGGUACCUGCAGAAGAAGCACCGGCUAACUACGUG
RNAcentral lists this ribosomal RNA (465 nucleotides) under uncultured bacterium. RNAcentral describes it as "partial 16S ribosomal RNA". It matches the Rfam family "Bacterial small subunit ribosomal RNA", at positions 28 to 507 of the family's 1533-position model. The record is from RNAcentral.